This 1016-nucleotide long non-coding RNA is filed under the name Setaria viridis. Its description in RNAcentral is "long non-coding RNA (SVIR_LNC010685)". Lineage: Eukaryota; Viridiplantae; Streptophyta; Magnoliopsida; Poales; Poaceae. The record is from RNAcentral.
CCGACACCGCCCGUGGGACCUCUGUCGCCGAUGGAGCUGCUGCCGCUGUUGAUGGAGCUGCCGCCGCCGUCGCUGGAGCUGCCGCCGCCGUCGCUGUUGCUGGUGAAGUUCUUGAUGGUGCCGCCAUUGGGGAGAUGGUCUGGAAUGUGGAUGAAAAAGGGUCGCCGGAAGAUGUGGUUGGAAGCCAAGGAGGCGCCGGAGGAGAUGGAAACUAGUGCGCUAAGAAAGGAAGUUACUGGCUUGUGAAGAAGAAGUGCGGAACGUGCUGGUAUUUAAGGACGGUUUGAGAAGGGGUAAAGGCGGGAUUUUUACCGCGCCGUCUACACGAAUUUCGGGGGAGUGGUUGUCUCAGGCGCCCGUUUCGAAAAGAUUGCAAUCAUUAGGCAGAAGAUCGUGAAACGGAAGGAUAUUUUUAAUGCGUUUGUUUCAUAGGAGAAGUUGAAAAGGAAUUUUGAUGUAAAGAUUAUGUUUUACUCCGAAACAGGGGGGCAUGUGUUGACGCUAUAUUUUGACACGUAUGGAAUCGGUGUCAAGGAGGGAAGGAUUGGCCGAUACGUCAAGUUAAAAGGUCACGAUCGGGAAUCGGCCGAUUGGUGCUACAGUUGGAGAUUGGCCAAUUAGUGCUGCAGUGUUCUGGUGGAUAGAGUUGGUAGAGAUUGGCUGAUUGAAAGGCUGGAGCAAUUGGGCCAAUAUGGGCUUAAAGUGGAGCAGAGAGAGAGAAGACGAAGGGGGAUUGGCCCGCGGGGGUAUAAUAACCAACUCCGAUACGAGUUGUACUUGUAAAUAUUCGUUUUUGUUUAAAAUUAGAGAUAGAUCCUAGUCGGUUAGGGAAUUGGUUGUAACAGGCUAUAAAUAGCCAUCUUUAGAGAUCUGUAAACAACAUAUCAAUCAAUACAACAAUCUACUAUUUCCUCGUACUCUACUUUCAAGUCUGCGACUUUGCCAAUACUUUUCUUCUUUCACGAGUUCGUACGGGUUGGUAGGGCUGCAUCGACACAAUCUCCGGCCGAUUCUGU